Molecule: long non-coding RNA, 6347 nt
Filed under: Trifolium pratense (red clover)
Lineage: Eukaryota; Viridiplantae; Streptophyta; Magnoliopsida; Fabales; Fabaceae
Description: long non-coding RNA (TPRA_LNC000261)
Source: RNAcentral
GAAAUCAACGACCCUCGAUCCAUUUGAGAGAUAUCUCGAGGAGGAGAGUCCCCUUUUUGUUUGUAAAGCUCAUUCAACAUGCCUCUCAGCAACCCUUCUAUAUAGUAUGAUUGUGACACUGUGAUCCAUACUCGACAGUCAAAGUGUCUCACUACCUCUUUGAUGUCAAAAACUUUUUUGGCAAGAGUAGUUUUUCCUAUCCCUCCCAUACCUACCACAGAGAUGACAGUGCGCUCAAAUCUUCCCUCUAUCAACCAUCCAAUCAAUCUAUUUUUGGGUGCUUGAAAGCCUACAAUUUCAGCUUCAUCAAUGUACAAAGUAGCCAUUCGAGGAUCGUGCCAUUUGGCAUUUUUGCUUCCUCUAAAGCUCGUCGAUCCUUGUUCAGUAAAAGCUUGGAACCCAUAUCUUUUGCUUCUUUCCUUGAUCACACGAACAUAUGACUUAAUGACUUGAAUCUCAGAUGCUAUUUGAUGACGAGUGGUAAUAACUUUGAGUGAGUGAACAAUUUUACGGAGUAAAGCUACACAUCCAGGAUCACGAGGUUGCUGUCUCACUUGGAUCAGAUAAUCAUCAAUGACAUCUUCAAUACGGAACGCUGCUUCUCGAACCUGCCUCACCCAUGUUUUGACUCCUUCAUUAGUGUUGUCUCCUUCAUCUGUUGCAACUCUUUUAUCGGCAUCCUUAAGAAAGGCUUGAAUGCUUUCAAGUUCAUCUUUAAUGUCUGCAAAUUCUUUGUGAAUACCUCCCAACAGCAUGGCUUCUACCCUUAAUGGUGGAAUCAGUUGGUCAAGAACUAAGGCCACUGUCAUUUCUGCCAUUUUUGUUAAGCUUGUGGGUUGUGGCUAUUUCUUUUUAAUUUGCUAUAUAUAUAUGUGAAGACUACACGGUUUUGCAAUUUCUACACGAAGGAAGAAAGAAAGUAAGAAGGCAAUUCCAUGCUAUCCACACACUGGGAAUCCGUAAAGCGUGUCUUUUGGAUAAAUUAUUACUAGUAAAUUUCAACACAACGACUAUUUCCAAUGAAUACGGAAUAGUACGUAAGUCAAUAAUGGUCUGAAAAAUGCUUUCAAUUUUCAACUGCCAUGUAAUUUUAUUUUCAACUACCAUCUACCCGUAAAAAAAAACAGUACCAUCUACCCGUAUACUAUAUUUAUUUUUUUUAACUAUAGAGGUGACAAUCGAUCUUAUGUAUACUAUUCAAAUAUCUCAUCAGUAAAACAAACCUACUUACUUUGUUUGAUAUGGUUUGUUAAUUAUUAUUUAUUUUCUGAUCAUACAUUUUAACCAAUAUAUGUGUAUAAUAUAUAUUUUUCACUUUGGGUUUAUAAUAAUAAAAAAAAAAAAGUAGAUUACACUCCCUCUCUUUUAAAAGAAAUUUGAAAUACACUUCUCUCUUCUUUUAUAUUAAAAUAUACACUUUAGUCCAUUUUAACAUAAAUUAAUUAAUAUUUCUGUGAUAAUAAUUAACUUUUUUUUUUUACUAAAAUAAAAGAUAUUCAAUGGCGAUCGUUGGAUGAUCUAUGAUUACUAUCUUGCCUUUUGCCAAUGUUCCCCAUCUUUCAACACAGCAACCACAAAAAUCGAUAAGACCAUGGUAUGGAUUAGAGUUCCAAGUUUGAAUCUUGCUCGAGGACGUUUUGCUAGAAUUUGUGUCGAGGUGGGUCUCACUAUGCCAGUGUUGGUGUGUUGGAAUUGACGGAGAAUGGUAUCAAGUACAGUACGAAGGCCUCCAUAUAAUUUGCACACAAUGUGGCUGCUAGGUCAUGUGCUUAAGGACUGUACUAUUAAAAUGAAGAAUGUUCCAAUGGUGGAGAGCGAAAAAUCGCCGGAAUCGCAUGACAGCGAAGGAAUUCAGAAGGGAAUGGAUUAAGGUUGAAAGGAGAAAAAAAAGCAACAAAAAUAGUAUCAACAAAUUUGGUGGAAUAUUCAAAGAUCUUAAAGGCCAUAAUCAACAUGCUAAAGAAAGAAGAUGUGAAUGAGGCAAGUGGUAGUCAUGCACAUGAUAAUAGUGGUGGAAAAAAGAAACGUGUGUGAAAUGAUUCUGGUGGGAAAAGUAACAUGAAGACUAAUGGUAAUCAAAAUAACCAUAGUCCCUCAUAUGUGAUACACACGGGGGGUCACGAUGGGGAAAGGAAAAAAUAAGCCCCCUAAAAAACAUGUGGGGCCCAACAAACCUCUUGUGAAAGUUGGACUAAAGCCAAACACUAAUAUAGUUCUCAAGAAGUGCCGGUUGAUACGAUGCAUGAACAAAAGGUAGACGGACAAUAAGUUGCGCCGUUAAAUCCAAUCUUUGAAAAACUACAUUCAUAGACCUAGGUGACACAACAUUACUAUGCAUGACCUUUUAAACUCUUUUUAAAAGGUUUACAGCCUCUAGUGCUAAAGCCAAAAAUAUCGAAUGAUUCUGAUUUUCUUCAAGAAGCUUCUUUUUAUUGCUUGCAGAUGUGACUUUGGUUUGGAAAUUGAAAUGGGUUGACAUGGUGUUACACCUUCUUUGAUAAGGUUGGUGCUUCGUGCCGAAGCAAAGAUGCAGAAAGUCCUGAUAAAAUGUUUGCUAGCUGUUGUUAAUUUUUGCAGUACAAGUAGGACAGUUGUCGCAGCUAAUGGUGGGUUAGAAAUUAUCAUAAGGUUGUUGAAUUCUUGUAAUAACGAUGUUAGAUUGUAUUUGUUAAAUAUUUUGAGUGUGUUGGCGCUUCUGAUCAGAGAGGUUAGGAAGGAACUCAAUAGAUCAGGAGCCCAUUGUUUUAUUUAUAGAGGCUGCUGGUGUUGGCAGCAAGAUUUCUAGGGGAAGGACGUGUCAAUCGAUUGGUUUUUUUGGUGUUACGAGACAAGCUAGGUACGCUUGUUGAAUUGCGAGUCAUACCGGUGCUUGUGGAGUUGUUUCGCAAUGGAGAUAACCCCAUGAUACUUGUGGCUGGUAAUACUCUUGGUGUGGUUUCGGCUCAUGUUGAAUACAUUAGACUGGUUACUGAAGCUGGGGCUAUACAUCUUUAUGCCUACCUUCUUCAAGGACAUGAUGCUUUUGGUAAGGAGAUAGUGGAGGAUGUGUUUUGUAUAUUGGCUGUUGCAGAGGCGAAUGUGAUUGAAAUUGUUGGUCACUUGGUGAGAAUUCUUACAGAAGGUGAUGAUGAAGCUAAAGCAGCAGGUGCUAAUGUGAUAUGGGAUCUGUCAGGAUACAUGAACGCAACUUCAGUGAUUCGAGAUUCAGUUGUGAUCACUAUCCUUGUUGAGCUUUUGAGCCAUGGGAGUGAAGAAGUAAACGAAAAUGUUUCUGGGGCAUUUGCUCAGCUGAGUUAUAUUGAAGGUGGAUGAAUGGCCCUUGUUGAUGCUGGUGCAGUACCGAUUUUCAUUGACUUGCUACAUGACGAGACCGAGGAACUAAGGGAUAAUGAUGUUGAGAUUCUUUAUAAUUUUUAUGAAGAUCCAUUGUACCAUGCUAGAAUAUCUGGUAUAGUGAAUGUUCCUUCUUUCAGAAAUAUGCAAAACAGACUAUACUAACUAGUAUUCGUGCAUCGAAGGAGCAUAUGACUAAUCUUAAUGUAGAACGAUUGAGCAUAUGACAUCCCGUUAGCGCCUCUGCUCACAUUCAGAUUGCUCAACUUUAACCAAAUAUUAUUAAAAUAAAAAAGAAAAAGCUUGGGGGACUAGACCAAAACCCAAAAUAACAACAAUGCAUACUAAAAUAAUUGGUCAACUGCCUCAUUAAAAACCUCAUCAAGGAAAACCCAGUGGGAUAAAACCUUGAUGUAGGAAAAAAGAGUGCAGUUUGAAUAUAAUAAAUAAUUAUCUCUUACAAUUCUCGAAAGGAAAGCUCUCACAACAUCUUACAUACAUGAUACAUCACAAACAACUCAAAUGUCCAACAAAGAAACAAAAACAUAAAUAAAGAUGCCAUUAUUGUAGAAGUCCACUUGGAGAAAUCUGAAUUUCCAUCGCACUAGAAGCCAACCACCUAAAGAUUAAUAACAAAUUAUUACUAAAGAUCAUUGAGGAGAGAAUGGAAAUGAUUACAACAAAAUAGUUCUUGAGGGUCACAACACAAUAAAAAUAAUAUGAUAAUUAUUGAUGAAGAAUUCAAAAAUNNNNNNNNNNNNNNNNNNNNNNNNNNNNNNNNNGAAUGAUUAUAGAACAAAAAAUAUUACCAAGAAUAUAUUUAUUCAAUUAUAUGGAAUAAAACGAUCACCUUUUCUCCCCCCUUGAAGUUGGAUGGCUUAUGAUUUCUAACUCCUUAAAGUUUAGGAUAAAGUUCUUCAUGUGGCACAUGUGGAACAUUGAGAACUUGAAGUUUUUCUAAGUGUUGGAUGCCAGCAGGAACAGUCUUGAGGUUGGGGAUAUCGUAUAACUUGAACUUUUUUAGAGAUUGCAAUGCUCCUUUUUCAAUUACAAUUGAAUACAAGUUAGUCAAACCAAUGAGGUGUAGUUCCUUUAGAUUUUGAAACCCUCCAUCAUGAAAAUGUAAACUUUCACCUUUAUAAGCAUCUUUGAUGAUUGAAAGGGACAACAAGUUUUGCAUGUUUUCUAACAACUUUAUUGGAUCAUCAAUUAACUGGGAAUAUUCUAACUUCAACUUAACAAGAUUUUGAAGUUGAAGAAUCCAUUCUGGAAACUUCUUCAACAUUCCUAUUAGUUUAAGAGUUCGAAGCUUAGAUGGAGGUGGAUUCAAAUGCAAAUCAGUUAAAUCAUAACAAUUUUUUGUAAAGGUUAUUGCCAGAAUGCUUAGAUUCUCCAAAUGUUGCAUCUCAUUCAAUGAAGAAGAUAAAGUGCUUAUAUGGUCUUCCAUCACAUUAAACAAGCUCAAUUUCCUUAACUGCCUUAGCUUUCCCAGCUCUUUAAUUAUCUUUAUUCCAUCAUCACCAUCUUCAAUAUCCACACUACUCAGAGUUUGUAGGGAUUCCAUGCCUCCUAUACGACCCUUCAAUUUAAACAAAGACAUUCUGGAGCCCAAAAGAUGUUGUAACUUUCUAAGCUUGCUAACCUCCUUUGGUAUUUUAUAUAAUGGGCAAUGUCUCAGAUCCAAAGUCUCCAGGUUUUGGAGCAUGGAAAUUGAUUUGGGAAGUUUAAUAUAACUCAGAGGAUAAACAUUAUUGAAUCUUAAAUACUUCAAGUGAAUCAAGCUUCCCAAAUUUUCACGAAGGAUAUUACUCAAUCUAACAUUAGAGAAAACAUCAAACUCAAGCACCUUCAAGCGCCUACAUUCUCUAAAGAUUCUCCUAAUAAAAGCUUUGCUCAAAUGUUGUGAAUUAUCUGCGAAAAUAAAUAGUGAUCGAACACGUGAGUUUUCAAUACGUUUCAUAAAAUCAUCGGAAUGGGUUGUUAUUGAUAGGCGCCGGAUACUUCCAGAUAAAGAUGAAUGACCAUUUCCACUGAUAUUCUUGCAGAAACUUAAAUCUUCACACUUUUCAAGAAUCAUCUCACGUGUUAGAUCAUGAACACAACAACUUUUAGCUUUUCCAUCAAAUCUAACAGAAGAUACUUGCACCAAACUUCUAUGGAUUAACUCUGUUAAAUAUCCUUCUGCCACUUCUUCCAAAGUAUUCCCACUUUCUUCUUUCACAAAUCCUUCAGCUAUCCACUGCCGAAUUAGUCUCCUUGAUUUAACUUCAUAAUCUUCAGGAUAUAUUCCAAAAUACAACAAACAUGACUUAAGAUGAAAAGGCAAAUCAUCGUAGCUGAAAGCUAAAAUUUGGUUUAUCCCGGUCAAAUGGGAAUCCCUCUUUAGCUCUAAAGGCAAUUUAUCACAAAAUUUCUGCCACUCAAGUAAGCUUUUCUCUUUUGUAGACAAUAGACCGCCAAUGGCAACAAUUGCCAGCGGUAAACCUUUGCAUUUGUUUGCAAUUUUUAAAGAUAUCUCUUUGAGCUCAUCUGGAAUGUCUUUUUUUUGGAAUGUCUUCUUUUUGAACAACUCAAAUGAUUGAACUUCCGAUAAAGGUUGCAGAUCAUGCACUUUAACAACAGAUGAUUUCAGACAAUUUGUGGCAACUUCCAUAUUUCUCGUUGUAAUAAAUAUCUUGCUCCCCAUUUUAUUAUCAAUACAUGCAUUUUGAAUCUCAUUCCAAAAAUGUAUGUUCCACACAUCAUCAAACACAAAAACAUACCUCUUUUGUUGCAAGUAGUUUCUUAGCAUAGAAAUCAACGACUCUCGAUCCAUUUGAGAGAUAUCUUGAGGAGGAGUGUCCCCUUCUUGUUUGCAAAGCUCAUUCAACAUGCUUCUCAGCAACCCUUCUAUAUAGUAUGAUUGUGACACUGUGAUCCAUACACGAUAGUCAAAGUCUCCCACUAACUUUUUGUUGUCAAAAACUUUUUUUGCAAGAGUGGUUUUUCCUUGUCCUCCCAUACCUACCACAGCG